RNAcentral lists this ribosomal RNA (484 nucleotides) under uncultured bacterium. RNAcentral's name for it is "partial 16S ribosomal RNA". It matches the Rfam family "Bacterial small subunit ribosomal RNA", at positions 30 to 507 of the family's 1533-position model. The record is from RNAcentral.
AUUGAACGCUGGCGGCAGGCCUAACACAUGCAAGUCGAGCGGAUGAAGGGAGCUUGCUCCUGGAUUCAGCGGCGGACGGGUGAGUAAUGCCUAGGAAUCUGCCUGGUAGUGGGGGAUAACGUCCGGAAACGGGCGCUAAUACCGCAUACGUCCUGAGGGAGAAAGUGGGGGAUCUUCGGACCUCACGCUCUCAGAUGAGCCUAGGUCGGAUUAGCUAGUUGGUGGGGUAAAGGCCUACCAAGGCGACGAUCCGUAACUGGUCUGAGAGGAUGAUCAGUCACACUGGAACUUGGACACGGUCCAGACUCCUACGGGAGGCAGCAGUGGGGAAUAUUGGACAGUGGGCGAAAGCCUGAUCCAGCCAUGCCGCGUGUGUGAAGAAGGUCUUCGGAUUGUAAAGCACUUUAAGUUGGGAGGAAGGGCAGUAAGUUAAUACCUUGCUGUUUUGACGUUACCAACAGAAUAAGCACCGGCUAACUUCGUG